This 70-nucleotide transfer RNA is filed under the name Marmota monax (woodchuck). RNAcentral describes it as "tRNA.Pro". The record is from RNAcentral. Lineage: Eukaryota; Metazoa; Chordata; Mammalia; Rodentia; Sciuridae.
GGGGUUGUGGCUCAGUGGUAGAGCACUCGCCUAGGGUAUGAAGGCACUGGGUUCGAUCCUCAGCACCACA